This 253-nucleotide ribosomal RNA is filed under the name uncultured bacterium. RNAcentral's name for it is "partial 16S ribosomal RNA". It matches the Rfam family "Bacterial small subunit ribosomal RNA", at positions 524 to 776 of the family's 1533-position model. The record is from RNAcentral.
UACGGAGGAUGCAAGCGUUGCUCGGAAUUAUUGGGCGUAAAGGGUAGGUAGGUGGUCUCAUUUGUCUGGGGUGAAAGCCUUGAGCUUAACUCAAGAAGUGCCCCAGAAACGGUGAGACUAGAGUCCUGGAGAGGGUCGUGGAAUUCCCGGUGUAGCGGUGAAAUGCGUAGAGAUCGGGAGGAACACCAGAGGCGAAGGCGGCGACCUGGACAGGUACUGACACUCAACUACGAAAGCGUGGGGAGCAAACAGG